GCUUGGCAACAGCGCGCCAUUCCUCUUUGCGUAUUGGGGCAGUUCAACAACGAGUCCGAUGUCUCCACCCCGCCCCGCGCAUUCGCUUCCCUGAGCGCUACUUCUCACGCUGACAAUAGUCCAGUUACCCCAGCGACCGUUGCACCGCACGUAGACUUCGCUUGUCGCUCUCCAACUGGGAGGAUCACCAAAUGUUGAUCAAAACUCUCGCGACCGGACGAUAACGCAGGACUGGAGCGAUAUCAUUUUGCGCUUCCCUACAAAGACGGCGAUCGCUGUCACGCGAAGGUCAGCACCGAAACUUCAGGUGGACACAACCAACAUUCAUGACUGGUCAGCUGGCGGCUGAUGGUGGGAAAAUCAUCUCUGCAACACCGCUCCAUCUUCCUCCGUCUCUGAAGUCUUGUGGACAAAAACAGGAAAGAGCGUGUCGGAAAGGAUAUUGUGUGUAGUGGAAUAAGACGUCCACGUUCAGCCUGUACAUAUUUUGGUGUUCAGGAAGUGUUGGCACCACCACCGCGUCUUUUGAACUUUAUACUUUUUGGAAUUAGCAGGCUCCUGGAAAAAACAGCAGGCGGAACUGAGCCACAGCCCCCUUGGUGUGUGGAAACAGAAAACAGAAACAUUACUUUACUUUACCCUGCGGGGCUUGCUGUGACCAUCGCCUAAAACAUCUUUGAUAUACAUACACCCAUCAAUCAGCUCUGCUCGCUAAUCUCUACACCUUUUGUUUUGUAUUUUU
Engraulis encrasicolus (European anchovy) is the source of this 742-nucleotide long non-coding RNA. RefSeq lists it as uncharacterized. Lineage: Eukaryota; Metazoa; Chordata; Actinopteri; Clupeiformes; Engraulidae. The transcript has 2 exons. The record is from RefSeq and is a predicted model, not a curated record.